RNAcentral lists this ribosomal RNA (466 nucleotides) under Vreelandella stevensii. RNAcentral describes it as "partial 16S ribosomal RNA". It matches the Rfam family "Bacterial small subunit ribosomal RNA", at positions 338 to 795 of the family's 1533-position model. The record is from RNAcentral. Lineage: Bacteria; Pseudomonadati; Pseudomonadota; Gammaproteobacteria; Oceanospirillales; Halomonadaceae.
CCUACGGGUGGCAGCAGUGGGGAAUAUUGGACAAUGGGCGAAAGCCUGAUCCAGCCAUGCCGCGUGUGUGAAGAAGGCCUUCGGGUUGUAAAGCACUUUCAGUGGGGAAGAAAGCCUUGGGGCUAAUACCCUCGAGGAAGGACAUCACCCACAGAAGAAGCACCGGCUAACUCCGUGCCAGCAGCCGCGGUAAUACGGAGGGGUGCGAGCGUUAAUCGGAAUUACUGGGCGUAAAGCGCGCGUAGGCGGUCUGAUAAGCCGGUUGUGAAAGCCCCGGGCUCAACCUGGGAACGGCAUCCGGAACUGUCAGGCUAGAGUGCAGGAGAGGAAGGUAGAAUUCCCGGUGUAGCGGUGAAAUGCGUAGAGAUCGGGAGGAAUACCAGUGGCGAAGGCGGCCUUCUGGGCUGACACUGACGCUGAGGUGCGAAAGCGUGGGUAGCAAACAGGAUUAGAUACCCUAGUAGUC